GAUGAACGCUGGCGGCGUGCUUAACACAUGCAAGUCGAACGAAGCGCUUUUAUUUGAUUUCUUCGGAAUGAAGAUUUUAGUGACUGAGUGGCGGACGGGUGAGUAACGCGUGGGUAACCUGCCUCAUACAGGGGGAUAACAGUUAGAAAUGACUGCUAAUACCGCAUAAGACCACAGUACCGCAUGGUACAGGGGUAAAAACUCCGGUGGUAUGAGAUGGACCCGCGUCUGAUUAGGUAGUUGGUGGGGUAACGGCCUACCAAGCCGACGAUCAGGAGCCGGCCUGAGAGGGUGACCGGCCACAUUGGGACUGAGACACGGCCCAAACUCCUACGGGAGGCAGCAGUGGGGAAUCUUGCACAAUGGGGGAAACCCUGAUGCAGCGACGCCGCGUGAGCGAUGAAGUAUUUCGGUAUGUAAAGCUCUAUCAGCAGGGAAGAAAAUGACGGUACCUGACUAAGAAGCACCGGCUAAAUACGUGCCAGCCGCCGCAGUAA
Molecule: ribosomal RNA, 497 nt
Filed under: uncultured bacterium
Lineage: Bacteria
Description: partial 16S ribosomal RNA
Rfam family: Bacterial small subunit ribosomal RNA
Source: RNAcentral